GUGGGGAAUAUUGGACAAUGGGCGAAAGUCUGAUCCAGCCAUGCCGCGUGUGUGAAGAAGGUCUUCGGAUUGUAAAGCACUUUAAGUUGGGAGGAAGGGUAGUAACCUAAUACGUUGCUACUUUGACGUUACCGACAGAAUAAGCACCGGCUAACUUCGUGCCAGCAGCCGCGGUAAUACGAAGGGUGCAAGCGUUAAUCGGAAUUACUGGGCGUAAAGCGCGCGUAGGUGGUUCAGUAAGUUGGAAGUGAAAUCCCCGGGCUCAACCUGGGAACUGCCUCCAAAACUACAUGACUAGAGUACGGUAGAGGGUAGUGGAAUUUCCUGUGUAGCGGUGAAAUGCGUAGAUAUAGGAAGGAACACCAGUGGCGAAGGCGACUACCUGGACUGAUACUGACACUGAGGUGCGAAAGCGUGGGGAGCAAACAGGAUUAGAUACCCGUGUAGUCC
Molecule: ribosomal RNA, 450 nt
Filed under: uncultured bacterium
Lineage: Bacteria
Description: partial 16S ribosomal RNA
Rfam family: Bacterial small subunit ribosomal RNA
Source: RNAcentral